This 497-nucleotide ribosomal RNA is filed under the name uncultured bacterium. RNAcentral describes it as "partial 16S ribosomal RNA". It matches the Rfam family "Bacterial small subunit ribosomal RNA", at positions 28 to 507 of the family's 1533-position model. The record is from RNAcentral.
GAUGAACGCUGGCGGCGUGCCUAAUACAUGCAAGUCGAGCGAACGGACGAGAAGCUUGCUUCUCUGAUGUUAGCGGCGGACGGGUGAGUAACACGUGGAUAACCUACCUAUAAGACUGGGAUAACUUCGGGAAACCGGAGCUAAUACCGGAUGAUAUUUUGAACCGCAUGGUUCAAAAGUGAAAGACGGUCUUGCUGUCACUUAUAGAUGGAUCCGCGCUGCAUUAGCUAGUUGGUAAGGUAACGGCUUACCAAGGCAACGAUGCAUAGCCGACCUGAGAGGGUGAUCGGCCUCACUGGAACUGAGACACGGUCCAGACUCCUACGGGAGGCAGCAGUAGGGAAUCUUCCGCAAUGGGCGAAAGCCUGACGGAGCAACGCCGUGUGAGUGAUGAAGGUCUUCGGAUCGUAAAACUCUGUUAUUAGGGAAGAACAUAUGUGUAAGUAACUGUGCACAUCUUGACGGUACCUAAUCAGAAAGCCACGGCUAACUACGUG